This 253-nucleotide ribosomal RNA is filed under the name uncultured bacterium. RNAcentral describes it as "partial 16S ribosomal RNA". It matches the Rfam family "Bacterial small subunit ribosomal RNA", at positions 524 to 776 of the family's 1533-position model. The record is from RNAcentral.
UACGGGGGGUGCAAGCGUUGUUCGGAAUUACUGGGCGUAAAGGGCUCGUAGGCGGCCAACUAAGUCAGACGUGAAAUCCCUCGGCUUAACCGGGGAACUGCGUCUGAUACUGGAUGGCUUGAGUUCGGGAGAGGGAUGCGGAAUUCCAGGUGUAGCGGUGAAAUGCGCAGAUAUCAGGAGGAACACCAAUUGCGAAGGCAGCUCGCUGGGACGUUACUGACGCUGAGACGCGAAAGCGUGGGGAGCAAACAGG